This 403-nucleotide ribosomal RNA is filed under the name uncultured bacterium. Its description in RNAcentral is "bacterial SSU rRNA". It matches the Rfam family "Bacterial small subunit ribosomal RNA", at positions 355 to 775 of the family's 1533-position model. The record is from RNAcentral.
UAGGGAAUAUUAGAAAUGGACGAAAGUCUGAUCUAGCAACACCGCGUGUGCGAUGAAGGCCUUCGGGUUGUAAAGCACUUUUUGGAAGGACUAGGAAGGAAUGUACUUCCAGAAUAAGUCUCGGCUAACUACGUGCCAGCAGCCGCGGUAACACGUAGGAGGCGAACGUUAUCCGGAUUUACUGGGCGUAAAGCGCGUGAAGGUGGUUCUGUAAGUAGGGCGUGAAAGCUCCUGGCUCAACUGGGAGAGGCCGUUCUAAACUGCAGAGCUAGAGGAUGGUAGAGGGAGGUGGAAUUCCGGGUGUAGCGGUGGAAUGUGCAGAUAUCCGGAGGAACACCAGUGGCGAAGGCGGCCUCCUGGACCAUUCCUGACACUCAGACGCGAAAGCUAGGGUAGCAAACGG